RNAcentral lists this unclassified non-coding RNA (557 nucleotides) under Hevea brasiliensis (rubber tree). The record is from RNAcentral. Lineage: Eukaryota; Viridiplantae; Streptophyta; Magnoliopsida; Malpighiales; Euphorbiaceae.
AACAAGAAAAGCCGUUCUCCUUCUCCUUCUGCAGCUGCUACGAGCUGCCAUGGAAAGGUUUUGAGGGUCGUCAACACUAUUGAUAGCAAAAUCUUGGAGUACACAAGGCCUAUGCUUGUUAAAGAUGUAUUGAUCAACUUCUCAUCAGGUUUUGCCAUCGGUCUAUCAGAGAAACCACUUAGAGUUCUUCCCCACAGUUAUAAGUUAAAGGUCGGUAAUGUUUAUUAUCUCUUUCCAGUCUCCAGCUCCGACAGGCCAUCAGUGGCGGCCACUGAUGGUACCACUAAGAGAAUUAAACUAAUUAUAACAAAGAAACAGCUUCAAGAAUUGCUGUCUAAGAAUAUAUCAGCGGAGGAGAUGUACCUGUUGGGUAUGAAUCAGAAAGAUAAUCCAUGGCGUGGACUUAACUCUCUGUCAAGGUGGCGGCCGGUGCUUCAAACCAUCCCUGAAGGAAACGAGUAGCAUUUUUUUGUGCAGGAAACUAAACACAUGAAAUUGCUGCUUUUGGAAAGUAUAUUUGGUUCACCUCUCUAUCUGUUUAACGUUAUACAUGUUAG